Long non-coding RNA from Mus musculus (house mouse), 8669 nucleotides. RefSeq annotates it as predicted gene, 31623. The record is from RefSeq and is a predicted model, not a curated record. The transcript has 2 exons. NCBI's taxonomy places the organism in Eukaryota, Metazoa, Chordata, Mammalia, Rodentia, Muridae.
GGAGCAUCAUCGGAUACAGAAAUGGACACUUGGUCCUGCUCUCAGGAAGUUGAUAGAUUCCACUAGACUUGGGGAGAUGGGGUGGGGGAAGGGGGAAUCACUGAAAAGCAAACUCCUGUGUGGAUAACUACCCAAACCACCAAGCAGAUAGCAGAAGGCUGCAUCAAAUGAAGGGUGUGGGUGAGAGAUAGGACAGUAGAGAUCAGAAGAUAACCACGAUUUGGAGGUGGCAAGCAGGUAGAAGGAAGAAAGAACUCUUCCACCCACCCUCUCAAUUUUGACUAAAGCUAAAUGGCUGAGUAGUGGGACUGGGGUCAAGCACUGAAUGGAGAUAUUCUGUAACAAGGCAGAUGUUCUGGAAAAACAAGGUGAAUGAGUAUUUUACAAAGAUUAGCCAGGAUUAAGUUUGCAAGAUGAAUUAGAACAAAGAACUGAAGGAGAAUGCCCCAGCAGGGAGCCGCUGCUAUCUGGCUGGAACGCUUGGGGAAGACCUGAUCCCAUUGCGGUGACCUUGACACAGACCACUUAACCCCAAGAUGUCUGUUUUCUCAUCUGCAAAAUAGGGGUGAUGACAUCAGCCCUCUAGAGCUAGGAAAACCAAUAUCCUAAAGGCACUGAGGUAACACCCCAGGUGCCUGGCUCCCAGCCAGUGAGCUGGCACACACCAGCUAGAACAGGUGCGGGUAUAACGAGGUGAAGGGAUGAACCAGGAAGGGGAUCUCUCCAACUCACCCUGAGACCAUCAGAGCAGGUGGGCAACUGAAAAGGCGUUCUUUAUGUAAACUGUAUGGGUUCAGGGCCAGGUCUGAUAGUGCACUUUGUAAUCCCAGCCCCCAUGGCUCCCACAGGAAGCAGAGAGAUUGGGAGAUCACUUCUAGUAGGUCAUUUCAAGUUUGAGGCCAGGCUGGGCUACAGGGUGAGAUGCUGGCUCAAAAAUAGCAAUAAGAAAACCUUAGGAGUACAAACGUCCCCUAAAAGAGAAAAGGACCUGCUCCCCGCCCCCCAGGAAACUCUACUGCCCCCCGCCUUUCGACUCUAUCACAGUGGUAGUGUCUAAGCCACUUAGUCAGGCUACCCAAGCUGGGAGGAGAAGCCGUGAGCUUGGAGCUGUGCUGUAGCUCCACCGUAGACCACUUUCUCAAACCCUGGUUCGAUCCCUAGGACCCUCUCACUUCCUAGAAUGGAAGGGAGUUCUGAACUGGCUCAUCUUGCUGCCCCCUGACCUUUCAGAGACUAGGACUAUAACAGGCUUGUUCACCGCAGUCUCCACAGGCUCAGUCAACACCUCAGACCUCACAGAAAGAAGUUAGUGCUCUCUAGCUUGGCUGCACUUGCAGGGUGCAAGCCAUGCUGGCUUCUAACUCAUUACAUAGCCAAGGCUAGCCUUGAACUCAUCUUCCUACAGGUGUGUACUGCUACACCUGGCCUUCAGGUAUUCUUCAGACAAACUCCAUCUUAUUACAUUUUCCAGUGAUACUCAUACCAGUAAACUGCCAGGAAGUGUCGUGUUGACAAGCCUUACGCUCCAAGGGGCAAGCGUGUGUGUCCUGUGACAAGCCAGGAAGCUUCCUUUCUCCUGGUCCUUGCUUUCUUUCCUGGGACAUUAAAGCACCAUACAAAAGCUGUGAAAACGUGGGUUUCCAGCUGCACAGAGGUAAGGCGAGCCUCCAGGCCAGAUCGCUAAACAGAGAGCAGCACUGCCUGGAGGCCAGGGGUGAUGGUCACUCAACCAGCUUGACAAACCUUGGUUCUGAGUUCAGCAUCCGUAGCAUGUGAAGGAGGGAUUGAUGCCACUGCUGCCGUCACUCACAGGACAGGCACCACCUAUGGUUCCUGUACAGCCACACAUGGGAAAUCGCUACAUCUUUUCUUCCUUCUGCCUAUCUGCACUCAUUGCAGACACCAGACCCAGAGACAUAGCAAAGGCUAUGAGGUCAGUGUGAAUGGAUAUCUGCUCUGAACUUGCCCCUCAGUCCACAGAAGCCUCAGUGUGAAGCAGCCAACAUUCCAUAUGACAUUCAAGGCCCCUACAAAGUAGAGGUCUCCCUGAUAUGUACUCAUAGCUCCACACUCUGAACCCACCUGCUGUUCCCUCCCACAGGGCCCUUCUCUUUCAGGUUCCACCAGCUGAAACCCUGGCUAACUUAUGUUAGCUUACCAGCUUUCUCCACCAACAAAGUUCCUCUAACCCUGGGCUGUCCAUGGAAGUAGCAGCUAGUGUAUAUAAGUUAAGUUAAUUAAAAUUAAGUAAGUAUUAGGCUGUAGUUCCUCAGUUGUAUCAGCCAUGUUAUAUGUGUUGAAGAACCACCAUUGUGGGUGCAUGCACAGAAUACAGAGCAACCCCAUUAUCGCAGAAAGUUCUGGAUACGGCGUCUCAGACCCCUCCCCCAUCUCUCCCCACUGUUCCUUAUCUCCUACUCCUUUCCUGCUCCCUGCCACUCCACUGUAUAAUCUCACAGACAGCUGGUUUUGCCUCUUAGGAAGAGGGCUGGACUCAUCUCCAUGAGAUUACACCUCCCUAGAGGGCAGGCACAGAAUCUUCCUUCCUGUCUUCCUGUGGAAACUGUGGACAGGGCACCUUGCUGCAAUGGUGGAGGAAUACUGCAGCUGAAUGCAACACUGCCUCAGGAGCUUCCUGUCUACAUGCAUCCCUGCAUUCAUCUGCAGACAGAUCCUGCCCAUAGCAGACAUUCUAAUGAUUGCCAGGAGGUCCUGGUUUAGGGCUCUCCAAAGCUGCCAGGAAAUGUUCGUUUUCCUAUUCCUGUGCAACCCAUAUGGAGGCUGCAAGCAAAUGACCAGGACUGAGCUGCUGGCAGUGAAGCUAAAAAUAGCCUCAGAGCCAACAGCCUGGAGUUAGCAGGACUUGUUGCUAAGGAAACAGUCAGAGAGAGAGCAACCAAGCAAGAGAAAGUGUCAGACAUUCACCAGGAGAGCAAAGGCUGGGCUGGGGGACUCCCACCUAGAGAUGCUCUGCCUUCUGGCAGCUUCUGACUACUGUUCAAGUGGGGUAAAUAUUCCCCUGUCCCUCAGUACCUCAUCUCCAUGGCAACCACCAGGUCUGGGGUAAAGUACCAGCCCCUGGAAGGGAGGCCUCUGCCUAGAGCUAGUUGUUAUGGCAACAUCUCCCCUUUUCUUUCAUUCUCUCCCUCCAGGCUUCUCCUAAGGGAUGAGGUAGGGGUCAAGACUUGGCUUAACCAAUGGGACCAGGAAACACCUGCUAAGCAGCUGGGGGCUCCAGAGGCUCCUGGGAGCCCAGGAAGAAUCUGCUCCUGCCCAAGCUGGCCUCAACUUCCAGGCUCAGGUGAUCCUCCCACCUAGUGGGACAGACAGCACACCUAGCUGACCACUGACUUCUGUCAGCAUCCUUGGGAUGUAAAAAGUGAGUUCAACUAAAUGUUUGCUGCCUGAACUUUGGUUCCACCCCCCCACACACACCAUUUCCUUGCAAAUCACAUCAGUUUUUAAACAUACAGAAGAAUGAAUUGUUCUUGUUCAGCCCAUCUGAGCUGGAAUACAGACACAGGCUGACAGAGGCCGGGAAGAGUGGCAAUUCUAUGGCAACGCAGGGCACUGUGGCUCUGCAAACCAUAAAACUGCACUCCUUGCAGCUGUGAUGUGAAGCCUGAAAGGCCAGGUGACUGAAGUUAGGAGGAGCCCAGGACAGGGGAGAAGGGGCCCCAGGCCCAGUGGUGGCGGCUGAUACCUGCAAUUCCAGCACUUUAGAGGCCAGGGCAGGAAGACAGAAAGUUAGAUGUUAUCCUCGGCUCUAGAAUGAGUUCAAGGCCAGCCUGAACUGACACCAUGAAACAGACCCUCCUCAAAAUGAGCAAAACCAGAAGCAGAAAUGUUCUCAGUCCUCUGGCUGACCUUGGCCACCUGCUCCCAGAAGCCGCUCCCUGUCGUGGUCUUGCUUUUUAGGUCUGUUUUUCUGAUUGUUGAUUUCUGUUGGUCCCCAUGUCACUCAUGGCCUAUAUGACAGGGGCUGGAGAAAACAGCCUGCCUGUUCUGAUUUUGAUGUGGCAGGCAUCACUCUGUCUGUAGCCCAGGCUGGUAGUUCUGCCCUCCAUACCUGACCCUCAGGAAAGGCUAAACGUAGCGCCCCCCUUACUUCCUCUGCUCCUUGCACCCCUUUCGGAGCCCCCUUACAUCAUGGUAAAUCAUGGUAAAACGCGGCCGGUUCUCUCUGCCCACAGCUGCACACUGAGGUGAAUUUCUCCCCACGGCAGGAAGGUCCCUAUGGUCUGACCAGCAGCUUCCUCUCGAGUCUUCUUUCUCCUCGAAUUCUCUCCCAAACCCUGUAUACCACAUCUCUUGCCACCUCAACAUGCCGGCAGCUUCGGCCCUCCCUGUCCUCUCUGCCCAUGGUGGUUCCUUUUCCGAAUUGUCUACUGAAUGGUGAUGUUCUCCAAGAAAGUCUCUUCCAGGACCCCUGCCCCUCCCCCAAGUUGUGGUUCUUUUCUCUGCUCUACACUGCUCAGAUCAGCUCUGCCUAUAAGACAGGUUUGCUCUGAGCCUGGCAGCCUCCUUCCUCUGCCAGUGUGUGUCUCUGGGACAGUCUGUGUCAUUUGUCUCGGGCCACUAGCACAAUAAGCUGCAUCAUUAGUCAACACUGAGUUAAGUUUGUUAACUCCCUCUACUAAAACACAGAGUUCUUUGUGGAGCUAGAGAGAGGGCUCGAGCUCCCCAACAGUAGCCAUCACUGGGACCUCCCCUGAUUAGUGGGCAAAAAAAAUCAUGUUUUGUUUGUUUUGUUUUUCUGGUUGCUUAUUUUGUUUUUGUUUUGUUUUUGUUUUGUUUUUUAAAAGUCUCACUUGGCCUAGAACUCAAGGUAGACCAGGCUGGCCUAGAACUCAGGGUAGACCAGGCUGGCCUAGAACUCAGGGUGGACCAGGCUGGCCUAGAACUCAGGGUAGACCAGGCUGGCCUAGAACUCAGGGUGGACCAGGCUGGCCUAGAACUCAGGGUAGACCAGACUGGCCUAGAACUCAGGGUAGACCAGGCUGGCCUAGAACUCAGGGUAGACCAGGCUGGCCUAGAACUUGCAGUGCUUCUUUUGCUUCUGUCUCCUGAGUACUGGGAUUGCAGGUAAAUGGGCAUCACCAUGCCCAGGGGUUUAAUACAAUAUUGUGUAGCUCUGGCUGGCCUUGAACUUCUGGUCCUUCUGCCUUUCCCUCCUAAGGAUGGAGUUAAAAGUGAGCACCAUAAUAUUCAGUCUGUGCAGUGUUAGAAAUAGACCCCAAGGCUUCCUGCAUGAUGGUAAGUAUUCUACCAUCUGCCCACAACCCCCAGCCCUCUGUCUCUUCUGGGUGUUUUGCUGUGUGUCUGUGCACCACAUGCAUGCAGUGUCCAUGGAAGCCAGACAGGGUGCCCCAGCCAGACCCCUUGGGACAAGAGUUACAGAGAGUUGUGAGCUGCACUUAGAUGGGUGCUAGAACUAGAACCUGGGUCCUCUGGAAGGAGCAGCCAGGACUCUUACCUGCCGAACAUCUCUCCAAUCCCUCUAGACUUCUUUUAAGAUUUUAGUUAUUUUUAUUUUUAAUCAUGUGUCUGUGUGGGUAAAUGCAGGAACCCAUAAAGACCAGAAGAGGCUAAGGCUGGCAGAGACAGCCCUUGGAGCUGGAAAACACUUGUGAACCCACACAUGUGGGAGUCAGGGACGAAAAGGUCUUCUGCAAGAGCAGCCAGCACUCUUAACUUCCACGCCUCUCUCCACCGGAUGUGCCAACAUGCCAUGGUGGGCUUUGUUUAUGCAUCUUUCUGCUUUUGAGACAGUGUCUCCCUAUGACUAUGUAGCCUUGAUGCGCCUGGGAUUCACUAUAUAGACCAGGUUGGCCUCAAACCCAGAGAUCCAUCUGCCCCCUGCCUCCUGAGUACUGGGACUGUAGUCAUGAGCCUCCGUAUUCAGCUCUGGGCCUUUAGAAUCUAAAACAAUAGAGAAGGGAGGAGCACAGCUAUGGAGAAGGGAAAGCAAAACUAAUGUACAGAUUCUUCUAUAAUCCUUCUCCUAAGGAUGCUUCAGACACACUUCUAGGAGAUGUGAGCUCUGAGGCUUGCUCAGAUACUUAACUUAGCACUGAUGUUUCAAGUAGUGUAGGUGACAGAGGGAGCGAGUGGUAGAUCCCGAUUCCAGCCCUUCCCACCCCCAGAUAAUAAAUGUCUGGAAUUCCUGGAAUUAGGCAAUCUAUUUCUAUCACACUACAAAUCAGGAAACUGAAUUGAUCAACUCAUCUGGAGCAGAAGCUAAGACUAGAAACCAGGCUUCCAGAAUUCCAUUCCAACAUCAUCCUAAUCCAAUUUUACAACUUCAGACAAGCAGGCCUGAGAGAACAGCCAGACAAGGGCAGGGUGAGGGCACAGGGAAGCAGGCCUGAGUCACAGGAUGGCCUUGAGGGUCAGCCCAGGCAGCAGGACCUAGAAGGCCAGCAAGCUAGAGGGUCUAUCUGCUGAGCCAGGCACCAGCUUUGAAGACAAACGCACCUGAGGAAAGCCGGGCUAGGGGGGUCAGAGAAGUAACCUGAGAUAGCAAGGUUUUGACCAGAGACCUUCCACAUUUUUGGGGUGCGUGUGUGAGUGUGUGUGCAUCUGUCUGUCUGUCUUUCUGUCUGUCUGUGUAUGCAGGGUCACAGUGGAGGGCAGAGGGCAGCCCUUAUGAGCUAGUUCUCUCCUUUCACCUACAUGUGUUCUAGAGACAAAACUCAGGUUAUCAGGCACAGUGGCAGGUGUCUGCCCCAAGCAUCAAGCCAAACAUAAUCAAUGCCAGGAUGUGCCUCAGGUCUGUGGUGGAGGAAGCGCAAGCCCUUCCCCAGGUUCAUCCUUAGCUGUAGCCAGGAGCUGCGCCCUGGGUGUGGUUACCACCCUCACUUAAGUGGAAGAUGCUCACAAAGCUGCUCUUUCUGUGCCCAGAAGUGAAUGAACUAAGUGUGCAGCGUCAGACCUUGAGUUAGAGCCGAGCAUGGGCUAUCGAGUGUGUUCUAGGACAGUCUGGGCUACAGUGGGAGACUCUUUCUCAGAACAGACAAACCCAUCCACACCAAAGCUGGGCCUUUUGCACCUGUAAUCCCAGCGUUUAAGAGAUCAAGAGUUCACAGUGGUUCCUAGAGUCAAGUUUCAAGGCCACCCUGGAUUAACUGCCCCCAAACAACAGAAAAUGCCCUAGCCCAUCCGCAGUUAAUCCACAGUGGUGGUCUUUUUGACAAUUUCAGGGCAACCCAGGAGGUUAUUUCUAAUUACGGUGGUCAUGGGAUCCCCUUUAAAACUCACUCACCCUUUUGGUAAAGUUACUUUGUCUCAGCUGCAAAUGUUCCUGUCCUCUCCAGGGUGGCCAGGUACUGCCCAAGGGCAAGAGUUGGCUGUGGCAAGAGUGAGGGAUGUCUCGGUCAGAAGCAUCCAUACCACUGGCUACUCCUUUGCUGUUAAAUUUACUGAUCUCCACAGCGGAAGAGAUCACACCUACCAUCUCAUAUUCUAUAGCCUCUCCCACAAAGCUCCUGCUCAAGGGGUGCAGGGUGAUUGCUUAUUAAAUGGUGGAUAGCCCAGCAAGAGGUGGCCCUCUGGACACUCACAGACAGACAGGAAACAGUCUGUUACAACCCCAGGUUGUAAACAAAUGGACACCACCACAUUUGUUAAAACUCCCAGAAGCAGCACCAGCAGCACAAAUGGUCAAUAAACAUGAGAAGAUAACCAAGCCUCACUUAUCAUCUGGGAAAUGACAAUUAAAAUCCUAACAAGACACCCUGUCCCCCCCACUCCGAUUGCAGAAUGCAGGCUGACUGGCAUGGAAGCUGGACUUCGGUGUUGCUCUUUCCUAGCAAUUUGUAAAAUGCAAAAUACACACUUCUUCCACUUGGAUUUCUCUUCCUAGGGUUACGUCUUAUGGAAAAACAAAAGCACAAAGAAGCAGGCUAAGCCUAGCAUGCAAGCAGACCCUGCUUCGAUUCGUAGCACCACAGAAAACGGUCUGAGGCAUACAACUAAUAACCCAGCCACCUAGGAAGUAAAGGAAGAAAGGGCUGAGGCUCAACAUGAUCUUCAACUACAUACCAGGCUUGGACCAGCCUGGGCUACCUGCAACCUCCCUCACACACCAAGGAUGUGUACUGCUACAACAUGCCUGGAUAGCAAGAUGCUGCGACGACGGAAAGGGCCAGCAGGCAGAGCCUGGUUACAUAAAAGCAUGGCAAUUCCUACAGUGGAAAUACUCUAGGAAUUAUGUGGCCAAACUGGCCAGCCUUAUUGUAAGUGAAAAGCCAAACUGUAAAGUGAAACUGCAGAAUGGUUCCAGUCACAGACGUACAUGCCUAUGAGGCAGGCUUAGACCCGCAGACGGACAGAGAACUGUGCCUUGUACACAGCACACAGCAACAGCCUCCAAAAGGAUUCUAUUAUCUACGUGUGUGUGCCACUUUUGAGACUGUAUCUUACUCUGUAGCCCAAGCUCGCCUGGAGCUCACUAGGCAACCCAUUCUGGCUUUGAACCUGUGCUCUUUCUCCUGCUUCUGCCUCCUGAGUGCUGGGAUCUCAGGCAUGCACCACUGUGUCCAGCUCUGAAGCAUACUGGAUUAAAUUGUGUGGGGGUUGGGUGUGGGGGAGACUUUUAAAAUAAGAAUGUAUUUGUGUAAUACGUACAUAAUGUAAAGUAACUUUUAAAACUGAUCAUAUCAGCUGGA